GACCCCAAACUCGUUGCCACACACACUGAGCUGCGCAGGAAAGCUGUAAUCCGGGGAAGGAGAGAGGUGCAAGAUGGGGUUUAUAAUGGAGUUUGCUGAGAAUCUGGUACUGAAGCUAAUGGAGGACCCUAAGGAGCGAGAUAGGAAAUUCAGGGAGCAUGUGUAUGCGACCAAGGAUCGAUGUGAGAAGACAAAGGAGAUGUGGGCCUUACCUCUCCGGCCAUAUGGGUUCUGGACCUUUGACCGCCACAAUUCGCAGAUGAAAUGGGACUCCCAGAUUAGUCAGGUUGAGGGCAGGAGGGACCCCUAUGAUGACCUUCUCCUGCACAGCCGCGACACUGACAUCGGCGUAUCGAAAUGAGUGCUAUGAGCAGACCACUUUACAGAACCGGCUGGAGGUUUCUUUCGAUGGAGUCAUGUUGGAGAAAUGUUAUAUGGUGUUAGAGAUCCUUUUAUCAAGACUGGUCUCUGCAUGUGAAUAAGAGUCCAUGUCACUGUUGUGUUGUGGAAAAAUUUCUCUUUUGAUGUUUAAUUACAUUUAUGUUCUCAACUUCUCAUUCUAUCUAGUCAUCUCUUUGAUUUUAGUUUUUGCUUAUACAGACAAUACAAAAUAAAGGCUUCAUAUAGUUGAUGUGUC
This is an RNA transcript of Fragaria vesca subsp. vesca, 637 nucleotides long. RefSeq lists it as uncharacterized. NCBI's taxonomy places the organism in Eukaryota, Viridiplantae, Streptophyta, Magnoliopsida, Rosales, Rosaceae. The record is from RefSeq and is a predicted model, not a curated record. The transcript has 3 exons.